UAAAGUCAAACAUUUUCCUAGUUGUUAUAAGCAUUUCGAAAACAUGAAACCCACCCACGAAAGUGACUUUACCCCUCCUGACCCCACGAAAGCUAAGAAACAAACUGGGAUUAGAUACCCCACUAUGCUUAGCCUUAAACCUAGAUGUUUAUAUAACAAAAAAUAUCCGCCAGGGUACUACAAGCGCUAGCUUAAAACCCAAAGGACUUGACGGUGUCUCAGACCCACCUAGAGGAGCCUGUUCUAGAACCGAUAUUCCUCGUUAAACCUCACCACCCCUUGUCCCAUCAGCCUAUAUACCGCCGUCGCAAGCUUACCCUGUGAAGGAUCAACAGUAAGCAGAAUGGAUAGCCUCCAAAACGUCAGGUCGAGGUGUAGCUCACGGGGUGGGAAGAAAUGGGCUACAUUUUCUAUAUUAGAAUAAACGAACGGCAUUAUGAAAUUAAUACCUGAAGGUGGAUUUAGUAGUAAAAAUCAAAUAGAGAGUCAUUUUGAACCAGGCUCUGAGACGCGCACACACCGCCCGUCGCCC
RNAcentral lists this ribosomal RNA (532 nucleotides) under Psalidodon santae. RNAcentral's name for it is "Hyphessobrycon santae partial small subunit ribosomal RNA". It matches the Rfam family "Bacterial small subunit ribosomal RNA", at positions 656 to 1402 of the family's 1533-position model. Lineage: Eukaryota; Metazoa; Chordata; Actinopteri; Characiformes; Acestrorhamphidae. The record is from RNAcentral.